RNAcentral lists this ribosomal RNA (253 nucleotides) under uncultured bacterium. RNAcentral describes it as "partial 16S ribosomal RNA". It matches the Rfam family "Bacterial small subunit ribosomal RNA", at positions 524 to 776 of the family's 1533-position model. The record is from RNAcentral.
UACGGGGGGGGCAAGCGUUGUUCGGAAUUACUGGGCGUAAAGGGCUCGUAGGCGGCCAACUAAGUCAGACGUGAAAUCCCCAGGCUUAACCUGGGAACUGCGUCUGAUACUGGAUGGCUUGAAUUCGGGAGAGGGAUGCAGAAUUCCAGGUGUAGCGGUGAAAUGCGUAGAUAUCCGGAGGAACACCAGUGGCGAAAGCGGCCACCUGGACUGUACCUGACGCUCAAACGCGAAAGCUAGGGGAGCGAACGGG